CCUACGGGUGGCAGCAGUGAGGAAUAUUGGUCAAUGGGCGCGAGCCUGAACCAGCCAAGUCGCGUGAGGGAAGACGGUCCUAUGGAUUGUAAACCUCUUUUGUCGGGGAGCAAAAGCCGCCACGCGUGGCGUUCCGAGAGUACCCGAAGAAAAAGCAUCGGCUAACUCCGUGCCAGCAGCCGCGGUAAUACGUAGGGGGCAAGCGUUACCCGGAAUUACUGGGUGUAAAGGGUGAGUAGGCGGCAAGGUAAGGGAUAUGUGAAAGCCUUAAGCUUAAAUAAAGUAUUGCAUAAAGAACUAUCGAGCUAGAGUACAGGAGAGGAAAGCGGAAUUCCUAGUGUAGCGGUGAAAUGCGUAGAUAUUAGGAAGAACACCAGUGGCGAAGGCGGCUUUCUGGACUUAAACUGACGCUGAGGCUCGAAAGCGUGGGGAGCGAACAGGAUUAGAUACCCUAGUAGUC
RNAcentral lists this ribosomal RNA (460 nucleotides) under uncultured bacterium. RNAcentral's name for it is "partial 16S ribosomal RNA". It matches the Rfam family "Bacterial small subunit ribosomal RNA", at positions 338 to 795 of the family's 1533-position model. The record is from RNAcentral.